AAAAAAAAGCUUUAUGAAAUUCAUUUGUAAAUUAAAUGAAUUCCAAUUUUAUUUUAUCGAAAAGCAAUGCAAGAGAUAAUCACUACAAUUCUUUUCAAGCUGCAGAGUCAAUAAAUGGAUCAAAUAUUGCCGAAAAGUUGCAUUAUAAAUAAUUUCUUGAUAAUUUUCCAUCUAUUCACAAACAAAUUUCAUUAUUCUUUGCAUAAUCCUCUUAAAGGCUGAUAAGCCUACAAAAGAGGAUAUCAACUCCUCUUUCCCCCCUCCAAUAAAACAGCCGAGAAUUUUAUCAAAAGCUUACCAAAACAACCAUUCGUAGUCUCAUAAUAUCAAAAGCUUCAUUUCUUCUCAAUAAUUUCUACACAUGGGCAACCAAAUGGUCCAACCAAACAAGUAAUAAGUUGCCUAAUCAUUGUUUACCAAGCAUUUGCAUUAAGUGAAAAUACGACCUCGUUAGGUUCCCUUAGGAUGACUUCUUCCUAUGCUUUACAUAAGCCACUGGUGUAGCUUUUCCUCUUAAUAAUUA
This 523-nucleotide unclassified non-coding RNA is filed under the name Hevea brasiliensis (rubber tree). Lineage: Eukaryota; Viridiplantae; Streptophyta; Magnoliopsida; Malpighiales; Euphorbiaceae. The record is from RNAcentral.